Long non-coding RNA from Drosophila montana, 369 nucleotides. RefSeq lists it as uncharacterized. The transcript is spliced from 2 exons. The record is from RefSeq and is a predicted model, not a curated record. NCBI's taxonomy places the organism in Eukaryota, Metazoa, Arthropoda, Insecta, Diptera, Drosophilidae.
AUUGACGUCAAAAUAAGGCAACAAACGCUACUGUCCGAGCAGUUCGAGAAGAAUCUUCAUUGAGGAAAAAGAUGAAGAUUGCUGCUUUUAUUCUUGUUGCAAGUUGCAUUGUUGGCAUUGCCCUGGGCGUGAACGACGAUCGCUGCUUGCGAAAACCUGAGAAAUCUGGUGAAUGCCGGGCAAGUAUACCCCGUUGGUCCUACUCUGGAAAACAGUGCAAACUAUUUAUGUGGGGCGGCUGCGGUGAAAGCAAGGAUAAUCGCUUUGAAACUGAGAGGGAGUGCAUAAACAGCUGUAUACAAGAUACUGACUAAGUUUCAUAGAGCCAAAAUUCGGCAAUUCCGAUAAUAAUAAAAAUAUGCAGACACA